GUAGGUGGCAAGCGUUGUCCGGAAUUAUUGGGCGUAAAGCGCGCGCAGGUGGGGUUCUCUAAGUCUGAUGUGAAAGCCCCCGGGCUCAACCGGGGAGGGUCAUUGGAAACUGGGGAACUUGAGUGCAGGAGAGGAAAGUGGAAUUCCACGUGUAGCGGUGAAAUGCGUAGAUAUGUGGAGGAACACCAGUGGCGAAGGCGACUUUCUGGCCUGUAACUGACACUGAGGCGCGAAAGCGUGGGGAGCAAACAGGAUUAGAUACCCUGGUAGUCCACGCCGUAAACGAUGAGUGCUAAGUGUUGGGGGGUUUCCGCCCCUCAGUGCUGCAGCUAACGCAUUAAGCACUCCGCCUGGGGAGUACGGUCGCAAGACUG
Molecule: ribosomal RNA, 374 nt
Filed under: uncultured organism
Description: partial 16S ribosomal RNA
Rfam family: Bacterial small subunit ribosomal RNA
Source: RNAcentral